GUAGCAAAAUAAAUUGUCUUUUAAUUGAAGACGGGUAUGAACGGUUAAACAAAAAAUUUUUAUUUUUUAUUAAGUUUAUUAAGUUCUGGUUUAAGUUAAAAUACUUAAAUAACUAAAAGGGACGAUAAGACCCUAGAAUCUUUACUUAUAAAUUUUUUAAAAAUAGUAUAUGUAAUAAAUAAAUUAAUUAUGAGUUUGGUUGGGGCAAUCAUUUUAUUAAAAUUAAAAUUUUAUAUACUAAAUUUAAGGAUUUAAGAUCCUUUAAAUAAGGAUAAUUAGUUUAAGUUACUCUAGGGAUAACAGCGUAAUAUUUUCAGAAAGGUCAUAUUAAUGAAUGUGAUUGCGACCUCGAUGUUGAAUUAAAAUAUCUUUACAAGGCAUAAGGUGUAUAAGAAGGUUUGUUCAACCUUUAAAAUUUU
RNAcentral lists this ribosomal RNA (419 nucleotides) under Awacaris japonica. RNAcentral's name for it is "partial 16S ribosomal RNA". Lineage: Eukaryota; Metazoa; Arthropoda; Malacostraca; Amphipoda; Pontogeneiidae. The record is from RNAcentral.